GUCUAUGGCCAUACCACCAUGAAUGUCCCCGAUCUCUUCUGAUCUUGGAAACUAAGCAGGGUUGGGCCUAGUUAAUACUUGGAUGACAGACCACCUGGGAACACCAGGUACUGUAGACU
RNAcentral lists this ribosomal RNA (119 nucleotides) under Nannospalax galili (Upper Galilee mountains blind mole rat). Lineage: Eukaryota; Metazoa; Chordata; Mammalia; Rodentia; Spalacidae. The record is from RNAcentral.